RNAcentral lists this unclassified non-coding RNA (2684 nucleotides) under Trichogramma pretiosum. RNAcentral describes it as "cortactin-binding protein 2-like, transcript variant X5". Lineage: Eukaryota; Metazoa; Arthropoda; Insecta; Hymenoptera; Trichogrammatidae. The record is from RNAcentral.
UGCUCCGCUGGGCUCGGCUAAAGAAGAUUUUGAACUUUGGCCCAUCAUCGUCUUGAUUGCGCCGCUCGCACAGUAGUGGAUAGUGGCUUAGUUUAGUUGCACCGCCGAGGCUAUAUAGUAGCCAGUCGGAGCAUCAUCGUCAUCAUCAUCGGCAGCGGCAGCGUCAGUAGCAGAAGAUUGCAUGUAUGUAUAAGCAGUGGGCGCAUCGCAUUUUGUUCGCGCGCCUAUAAGCGAAAGUUUACGAAGCGUCGGCGGCCAGUGUGCCAGCGCGGGUAAACACACGAGUCUCGGAACUCGCCCGUUGCCAGUUUUCCCAGUGUAUCGAGUUUUAUGGCCGUGCAAUUGCGCCUCACGAUGAAAACUUGAUUAUCCGCCUGUUUAACGAUCGCGCCGAUCAUCGACACUGUCCAGAUAUGGAAUCGACUCGAGCGUCAAUUCGACGGCUCGUAUUUACACACGGCAAUGAGUAACUCGCGCCGAUGACCUUAUAAUCUUGGACUCGUGCGGCCCGACGGACUCAAUGGCUCAAUCGAGCACAAAAACGACUACGAGCAAUGGCAACGGCAACGCCACGACUCAUCUACAUCAUCAACAGGCCCAGCAGCAGCAGCAGCAAAAAGUACGCAAAGUACUGGUGGAGAAUCGUGGCACUGGACACCUGGUUCAGUACAAUCAGCGUAGCAGCAUCAGCAGCAUCAGCACAGUCAGCGCCAACAGUAGCAGUAGCAGCAUCAGCAGCAGCAGCAGCAGCAGCAGUGGUAGUAGCAGCAGCGGUAGCGGCAGUAGGAGUAACAAUAGGGAGAAGGAGGUAGUUGUAGCCGGCAGCGGCGCCACACCACAGCAGCAGCCACAGCAUCGGACGCAGCAGCAGUCGAGAACAGUAGCGAGCGUUAAUAUAAGGAAGAAGCAUCAGGCAACGCAGUCGGAGCGCGCCAACAACAAUCGUACGCGUCGUCCGGUGAAUCUCGACUUGCGACCGGCAAAGUCUAGCAGUCUGCCGAAAUCGGCGUCGCUGCCCUCGGUCAUCCCCCGUCAAGGCAUACUCAAGUUCUCCUCGGCGGACUCGAGCAGCAGUCCCCAGCGCAAACAGCAUCAGCCGCAGCAACAGGCCCCGACCAAGUGCCGAAGCUUCAGCUCUCUUCUGCAGCAACUGCGACACCCUAGUCGCAAGUCGGCCAGCAGCAGCAGCUUACACAUCCGCGAGCCAUCGGCGCCACUGAUAGCGGUCCGGCACUCGUCGUCGAACGAGUCCUCGCCGGUCUCCCCGUACAAGUCCGUGUCGUUCAGUCCCGACACGAGCUUCGCCAGUGCCUCGGAGGCUCGACCCAGCCAGAAGCGCAAGGGCCAGCAGGCCAAGCUCCACUCGUGCGUGGGCUAUCGGCAAGGUGUGCUCGCGGACGACGAUCGACUGCAGUGCAAUCUGCCAUCCUCGUGGGAGGAGGCCCUCGGCGGGCCGAAAGCUCUCCUGAUAGCGGCCCAGGAUGCCGACGACGAUGUCGUGCGACGCAUCGUCAAUCUCGUCGGCAAAGCCGGCCUGGGCGACAUCGACGUCAACGCGAGGGAUCCCAGUGGCAGGACGGCGAUAAGCUACAUGGCUGGCAACGGCAGUGCGCUCGUGUUGGAGGCCUGUCUGGGAUUCCCCGGCGCCGAUGCCAAUCUACCGGACAACGAAGCCAACACGCCGCUGCACUUUGCCGCCCAAGCUGGACAGACCGAGUGCGUGAAUAUACUGCUGCAGCGCUGCCCGAGCAUCGAGGUUGACGCGAGAAACUCACUUGGCUUUACUCCACUGAUGAAAGCAGCGCUUCAAGGCAGGACAAAAUGCGCCAAAAUUCUACUUUUCGCCGGUGCGAAUCCGACGUUACGGGAUCACGGGCGGGGCUUCCGGGCCGAGCAGUGGGCUCGUUUCUGCGGCCGCUACGUCUGCGCCGAGGUCAUCGAGAGGUUCGCCCGCCACAGGCUGCUGGAGAAGAGCAGCUCUUGCCGAUGGGGUAGCGAGCCCGAGCUGGCCGCGCAGAUUCUCCAGGGCAAGUUCAUGGCGAUGCCGCCGCCACCGCAGCCGGUGCAGCAUCACGGCACGGGCGGCAGUCUCAAGUCCAAGUUUCGUCGGGUCUUCCGUACGACUUCGAACUCUGAGCGCAGCAGCGGCGGCGGCGGUGGAGGUCACGGGAGCGGCGGUGGCUUCUCCCUCGUCUCGCAGCUGACGAGCGCCGCCCUGUGCGCCUCCAGCCCCGUACUGCCCAAAUCGUCGGACGUCUCGCCCGUCGUCAAGAGCCUGCUCAGGCCCCUCAGCGUGCCCCAGUUGAGUAUACAUGCUAAUACACUUGGCUUUAGACGUAAUCGCUUGUUGUAACUAUCUUACUGUUAAUCACGAAAAUAUACUUGUUAUAACAAACUCGAGCACGACGCAUGUUUUGCUUGAAAUUACGUCAAAACCAUGAAAAACAAGCCGAAGAAAUGCGCAACACUAACGACAUACAACACACCAUCAGCAACAAAAGCAUCGCAUCUGCUGCUGCUACUUCUUCUCGCCUCUUCUUCUACUUCUUGUAUACUCGUUCUUCAUCAUGUCUAUCACGCUUCGCUUUUAUAAAAGGUGACGCUGGUGACUCAGGACGCCGCCGAGAUCGACAGAAUCGAUGCGCAACUGCAGCAACAGCAGCAGCAGCAACAGUCAACUACAG